This 228-nucleotide unclassified non-coding RNA is filed under the name Hevea brasiliensis (rubber tree). Lineage: Eukaryota; Viridiplantae; Streptophyta; Magnoliopsida; Malpighiales; Euphorbiaceae. The record is from RNAcentral.
AGCACUUUCAUUGGCAAAAAGGACCACCACUCAAACUCAAACUAGCAAACCCAAAUCAAGAUAUAUGCCAAAGAAAAGAAAGAAAAGUAUCACAUUUAUUUGACUUUUAUGGAUUUUUUAAAUAUUUUACUUUGUGCCUCACCUCGCUAAGGUGCGUGCCUGCACCUUGCGUCUUGCGCCUGGGCUCCAGGAUUCCUCGACACUUUAGUGCGCCUUAAGCCUUUAAUA